CCUACGGGCGGCAGCAGUAAGGAAUCUUCCACAAUGGGCGCAAGCCUGAUGGAGCAACGCCGCGUGCAGGAUGAAGGCCCUCGGGUCGUAAACUGCUUUUAUGAGUGAAGAAUAUGACGGUAACUCAUGAAUAAGGGUCGGCUAACUACGUGCCAGCAGCCGCGGUCAUACGUAGGACCCAAGCGUUAUCCGGAAUUACUGGGCUUAAAGAGUUGCGUAGGUGGCAUAGUAAGUGGAGCGUGAAAACGUGUGGCUCAACCAUACAGCCGCGUUCUAAACUACUAGGCUAGAGUGCGAGAGAGGUAGAUGGAAUUUCUAGUGUAGGAGUGAAAUCCGUAGAUAUUAGAAGGAACACCGAUGGCGUAGGCAGUCUACUGGCUCGUUUCUGACACUAAGGCACGAAAGCGUGGGGAGCAAACCGGAUUAGAUACCCGUGUAGUC
This 441-nucleotide ribosomal RNA is filed under the name Salmonella enterica subsp. enterica serovar Anatum. RNAcentral's name for it is "bacterial SSU rRNA". It matches the Rfam family "Bacterial small subunit ribosomal RNA", at positions 338 to 795 of the family's 1533-position model. Lineage: Bacteria; Pseudomonadati; Pseudomonadota; Gammaproteobacteria; Enterobacterales; Enterobacteriaceae. The record is from RNAcentral.